UGAGUAAUCUGCCCUUCACUUGGGGAUAAGCCUCGGAAACGAGGUCUAAUACCCGAUACGACCAGUCCUCGCAUGAGGUCCUGGUGGAAAGUUUUGUCGGUGGAGGAUGUGCUCGCGGCCUAUCAGCUUGUUGGUGGGGUAAUGGCCUACCAAGGCUUCGACGGGUAGCCGGCCUGAGAGGGUGAUCGGCCACACUGGGACUGAGACACGGCCCAGACUCCUACGGGAG
RNAcentral lists this ribosomal RNA (229 nucleotides) under uncultured bacterium. RNAcentral's name for it is "partial 16S ribosomal RNA". It matches the Rfam family "Bacterial small subunit ribosomal RNA", at positions 118 to 347 of the family's 1533-position model. The record is from RNAcentral.